Molecule: ribosomal RNA, 2929 nt
Filed under: Citrobacter freundii
Lineage: Bacteria; Pseudomonadati; Pseudomonadota; Gammaproteobacteria; Enterobacterales; Enterobacteriaceae
Description: 23S ribosomal RNA
Rfam family: Bacterial large subunit ribosomal RNA
Source: RNAcentral
GGGUUGUGAGGUUAAGCGACUAAGCGUACACGGUGGAUGCCCUGGCAGUCAGAGGCGAUGAAGGACGUGCUAAUCUGCGAUAAGCGUCGGUAAGGUGAUAUGAACCGUUAUAACCGGCGAUUUCCGAAUGGGGAAACCCAGUGUGAUUCGUCACACUAUCAUUACGUGAAUACAUAGCGUAAUGAAGCGAACCGGGGGAACUGAAACAUCUAAGUACCCCGAGGAAAAGAAAUCAACCGAGAUUCCCCCAGUAGCGGCGAGCGAACGGGGAGCAGCCCAGAGUCUGAAUCAGCUUGUGUGUUAGUGGAACGGUCUGGAAAGUCCGACGGUACAGGGUGAUAGUCCCGUACACCAAAAUGCACAGGUUGUGAACUCGAAGAGUAGGGCGGGACACGUGGUAUCCUGUCUGAAUAUGGGGGGACCAUCCUCCAAGGCUAAAUACUCCUGACUGACCGAUAGUGAACCAGUACCGUGAGGGAAAGGCGAAAAGAACCCCGGCGAGGGGAGUGAAAAAGAACCUGAAACCGUGUACGUACAAGCAGUGGGAGCAUCCUUUUGGGUGUGACUGCGUACCUUUUGUAUAAUGGGUCAGCGACUUAUAUUCUGUAGCAAGGUUAACCGUAUAGGGGAGCCGAAGGGAAACCGAGUCUUAACUGGGCGUUAAGUUGCAGGGUAUAGACCCGAAACCCGGUGAUCUAGCCAUGGGCAGGUUGAAGGUUGGGUAACACUAACUGGAGGACCGAACCGACUAAUGUUGAAAAAUUAGCGGAUGACUUGUGGCUGGGGGUGAAAGGCCAAUCAAACCGGGAGAUAGCUGGUUCUCCCCGAAAGCUAUUUAGGUAGCGCCUCGUGAACUCAUCUUCGGGGGUAGAGCACUGUUUCGGCUAGGGGGUCAUCCCGACUUACCAACCCGAUGCAAACUGCGAAUACCGAAGAAUGUUAUCACGGGAGACACACGGCGGGUGCUAACGUCCGUCGUGAAGAGGGAAACAACCCAGACCGCCAGCUAAGGUCCCAAAGUCAUGGUUAAGUGGGAAACGAUGUGGGAAGGCACAGACAGCCAGGAUGUUGGCUUAGAAGCAGCCAUCAUUUAAAGAAAGCGUAAUAGCUCACUGGUCGAGUCGGCCUGCGCGGAAGAUGUAACGGGGCUAAACCAUGCACCGAAGCUGCGGCAGCGACACUAUGUGUUGUUGGGUAGGGGAGCGUUCUGUAAGCCGUUGAAGGUGUAUCGUGAGGUAUGCUGGAGGUAUCAGAAGUGCGAAUGCUGACAUAAGUAACGAUAAUGCGGGUGAAAAACCCGCACGCCGGAAGACCAAGGGUUCCUGUCCAACGUUAAUCGGGGCAGGGUGAGUCGACCCCUAAGGCGAGGCCGAAAGGCGUAGUCGAUGGGAAACAGGUUAAUAUUCCUGUACUUGGUGUUACUGCGAAGGGGGGACGGAGAAGGCUAUGUUAGCCGGGCGACGGUUGUCCCGGUUUAAGCAUGUAGGCGGAGGUUCCAGGUAAAUCCGGUACCUUUUUAACGCUGAGGUGUGAUGACGAGGCACUACGGUGCUGAAGUAACAAAUGCCCUGCUUCCAGGAAAAGCCUCUAAGCAUCAGGUAACACGAAAUCGUACCCCAAACCGACACAGGUGGUCAGGUAGAGAAUACCAAGGCGCUUGAGAGAACUCGGGUGAAGGAACUAGGCAAAAUGGUGCCGUAACUUCGGGAGAAGGCACGCUGAUAUGUAGGUGAAGUGAUUUACUCAUGGAGCUGAAAUCAGUCGAAGAUACCAGCUGGCUGCAACUGUUUAUUAAAAACACAGCACUGUGCAAACACGAAAGUGGACGUAUACGGUGUGACGCCUGCCCGGUGCCGGAAGGUUAAUUGAUGGGGUUAUCCGUAAGGAGAAGCUCUUGAUCGAAGCCCCGGUAAACGGCGGCCGUAACUAUAACGGUCCUAAGGUAGCGAAAUUCCUUGUCGGGUAAGUUCCGACCUGCACGAAUGGCGUAAUGAUGGCCAGGCUGUCUCCACCCGAGACUCAGUGAAAUUGAACUCGCUGUGAAGAUGCAGUGUACCCGCGGCAAGACGGAAAGACCCCGUGAACCUUUACUAUAGCUUGACACUGAACACUGGUCCUUGAUGUGUAGGAUAGGUGGGAGGCUUUGAAGUGUGGACGCCAGUCUGCAUGGAGCCAUCCUUGAAAUACCACCCUUUAAUGGCUGGUGUUCUAACGUGGACCCGUUACCCGGGUUGCGGACAGUGUCUGGUGGGUAGUUUGACUGGGGCGGUCUCCUCCUAAAGAGUAACGGAGGAGCACGAAGGUUAGCUAAUCCUGGUCGGACAUCAGGAGGUUAGUGCAAAGGCAUAAGCUAGCUUGACUGCGAGAGUGACGGCUCGAGCAGGUGCGAAAGCAGGUCUUAGUGAUCCGGUGGUUCUGAAUGGAAGGGCCAUCGCUCAACGGAUAAAAGGUACUCCGGGGAUAACAGGCUGAUACCGCCCAAGAGUUCAUAUCGACGGCGGUGUUUGGCACCUCGAUGUCGGCUCAUCACAUCCUGGGGCUGAAGUAGGUCCCAAGGGUAUGGCUGUUCGCCAUUUAAAGUGGUACGCGAGCUGGGUUUAGAACGUCGUGAGACAGUUCGGUCCCUAUCUGCCGUGGGCGCUGGAGAAUUGAGGGGGGCUGCUCCUAGUACGAGAGGACCGGAGUGGACGCAUCACUGGUGUUCGGGUUGUCAUGCCAAUGGCAUUGCCCGGUAGCUAAAUGCGGAAGAGAUAAGUGCUGAAAGCAUCUAAGCACGAAACUUGCCCCGAGAUGAGUUCUCCCUGAGACUAUAAGUCUCCUGAAGGAACGUUAAAGACGAUGACGUUGAUAGGUCGGGUGUGUAAGUGUAGCGAUACAUUGAGCUAACCGAUACUAAUGAACCGUGAGGCUUAACCUUACAACGCCGAAG